CCCCCCCCCCCCCCCCCCCCCCCCCCCCCCCCCCCCCCCCCCCCCCCCCGGCCGGGGCUGACAGGGGCCGGGCGUGGGGCGCUCCGCGGGUCUGUGGCCGCCCCGGGGCCCGCGGGCGGAGCUCGGCGAGAACCGCUCCGUGCUUUGCGUAACCGAUAUCUGCGCGUCCUCGAGUGACCCGGGCGCUACAGGUCGCCUGGGGCCGCUUUCCUCCGCCCCGGGCUCGCCCGGCCGGGCGGCAGCUGCCGCCCUUCGGUCUCGCCCGGCCGGGCGGCAGCUGCCGCCCUUAGGUCCCGGGCGGGCAGGCGGCGCCUGCCCUCGGGCAAGGGGCAGGUGGGAGCCACGUCCCAGCGUCCCCGCAAGAGAGAAGAGUUAACUCAGCGCCGAGGCCUGACAGUCCUGCGUGUGGAACAAGAACCGUCCUAUUUGUCGUUGUGUCCCUUUCUCCUGUCUGGCCGUGCGUUUCUCGUCCCAGCUAGCCGGGGAUCUUGUGGCAGCCCCUUGCGGGCCAGCCUCUCUUUGCGCCCUGGCGGAGUUGCGCAAGUGGCAUCAGAAUGACUUUAUGCGCGUCUGCUCAGCGAUGAAACUGGGGCAGCUUCCUGGCUUUGGGUCAGAAUUUGGCUGUAGUGAAUGCUGCAGUUGACCAGUUAUGUAGGAGUGAUUAAAGUGGACUUCCCUAAAGCUUAAUUUUAUGCUAAGAAUGCAAUUAAUUAUGCUGAUAAGGUGAACUGUGUUUGAAUUGGCCCCUCAGUUCUUGAGCAAACUAGGAGCUAUGUGGUCUCUUAUAGUUUCAAGUAUUUAUGUUACAUAUUUUGCUGACUCCCAGCUUUCUUCGUCAGUUUGGUGAAAGGUUAAGGUAAGGCGUCAAUUAUUUCAGAUGUCUUGGAAUUUUUUCUUAAGUACCUUCCUAGCAGGUAGGGCAACAGAUUAGGUCUUACUGAUCUGUUUUGUUUAAGUUAAACUUUCAAGACAGCGGUGAAGGAAAGACCAUGAGGUUUAAAUAGUGAAAUCUUACAGUACUUGCAGAAUUUAUCAAGUAAUGUCCAUCUGUAUUGAACACGUUUUCUUCAGUAUCUGUGUAGCUCAGAUGACUGUGUGAAGAAUAGAAGAGCUAACUUUUCUUCAGUAUCUGCGGCCCUGAGCAGUGCAAAGGACAUGAAAUGAAAUGGGAGUGGAAAUGAGAAUGAUUGAUUAUGGCAGAGAACCAGUAGUUAAUAUGUUGUACAGGGGGUAUUUUUUAAAAGGAUUUUUGUGAAUGCUUUAAAGAAUGUUGUUGUAGCCAGAUGACGAAUGUUUAUCAGAGAGUUUUAUAUUAGCAUAUAUUAUUACAUUCUACUGAAUUUUACAUUCACAUAAUGCAAUUGACUUAUAACUUCAGUGGGAUUCAUGUAAAUCUUGGAAAUUGUGCAAUACUAACUUGCUAGUUCCCUUACAUUUUUGAGAGGAGGGAGUUGCUGGUCUGGCUUGUCUUUGUUUCCUCUUUCAUGAAAACACUAUUUUUAUGGGGAGAAAAUUGCCUUUUGUUUAUUGCAAGUUACCAAUGCAGCUGUUGUUUGAAGUUAAUGAAAGCAUGUUGAAUAAUUUGUAGAGAGGGACCAACAGUGCUAAAGGAACAUCCAUCAGUAUUUCAGCAUUGUAAAGUGAACCUUGUAGAGCAGUAUAUCACUGUCAAAUAAGUAUUUUUCUAAGGGGUUUCUGAAGGGGGACGGAGGGGGAAAUCUUGUCUUGCUUUAGCUGCUGCUGCUCUGCCUGAUGCCCUACAGGUAGCAAAAGAGACUGUGGCACUAAUACUACUUCAGCUUACAAUACCUACUGCUAAAGCCAUAAAGCUUUACUCAGCUGGGAUUAGAAAUGGAUGUUUUAUGUGACUAAGGGGAUAAGGUGUGGUUUAUAUGGGUCUCUGUGCUGCCUAUCUAAACGUUUCACACCGCUCUCUGUAUUCUAAGCACUAACCUGCGGGCUGUAUUUAUCCUUAGGCAUUCUUACAGCAGCUGUUCAGCUGUUGUCUUGUAAAUACUGUUAUUCUGCCAGUUUGCUUUUUUUGCAGUGCUCUUUUUAAAGAUAAGUUAGCAGUCUGCACUGUGGUUAUGAAGCUAUUUGGUUCAGAUAUCAUGCAUAGCCAUGUAGAAGGUUGAGAAAUGUAAAGUGGAAUUAAUUCUAAUGUUUACAUAUGCUGUCUUUAAUGUUUAAGUGGGAUAGGUUAUAUAAUUCCAGUUAGAGUUUUACCAGACUUGGUGAGUGGACUUCAGUUUAUUGUACUUACACUUGAGUUUGGGGAUUAUUUUCCCCAAGAGUUCUUAGUCUGCUAUAAAUGAGUUCUGGAUUUAAUUUUUAGCUAGUUGAAAUCAAAUUGUAAUUCACUGUUGAACUGAAGGGUCAUAAUACUUAAGAAUAGUUUCCCCAGCUAUUUGAUUUAAACUUACUGAUAUGCAAAGGCUGUGCUUUGUAGUGGUGUAGUGCCUUGGAAGGAAGGCAGGCAGGUGAUACAGCUCUCAGUAAAGCUGUUACAAGUGCAGUUCAAGGGACAGUGCUGACAAACUCUCUUCUGAUAUGGACGCGAGAAGAUUCUAGGGUCUUUCAACAGUCAGAAGCGAAUUGCGGAGAACUUGUAAUGGGCUAUUUUCAAUUUAAUUCUCAUUGGUGUUGCUCUGUUUCAAAAUAAUGUAUUUGCACACACUGAAAUAAAUUAUGUGACUGCGUUUCCAUCAUAAGGGCUCAGCCUUAAGUAUGUUUGGAUGCUGUAAACUGGAAUGCAAUUUCUUACACUGAAAUUGAGAAUUUAGUUGACUGUGAGAAACAAAAGGGAUUUUAAAUUUCGGGAAGGAGUCCAGUGAUACCAAUAAGAAUAUGGUAAUAAUACAAUCUGGGUGCUAGUAAUUUCGAGUAGAAUUUAACAUUGUUACAAACACUUUGUUUCUUUAUGAGAUAGUUUGACUUGUGAUUUUAGUUAGCAAAGUUUCAUUUUUGUGGCACAACAGCUACAAAACCGUGGUCGUGUAGUUUACUCAGACUUAAUUAAAGUGACAUUGAUUUUUAGAGCUCUUAUUUCAAACCCCAGAAAAUGUAACCCCUUAUUUCCCAGAUAUUAUUACCUUAAUUUUCUGGCAAAAUACCAGUAUUCUGUGAGUAGUUCAGGCUGUGAAAUAUUUAUGUAGCUAUUUUCUGAUAGCUAAAUAAAUCAUCUGAACCAAAUAUGAAAAUCUAGUGAGCUGAAAUUUAGUAAUAGUACAUUGCGAUUUUAAUGCUAAAGUAUUAGUCUUUUGAACUAUUUUUUCCGUCUGAAUGAAAGCAAAAUCUUGGUGUGCAUUUGUGUAAUCCAAAAUAUUUGAAGAAGGGAGGGAAUUUGAAAACUUUUGACUAAAAACUGUUGGUUUCUAGCCUGUGUUUAAAUUAUUCACAAGAUAAACUUUCCAACCUAUGCCAAUGCAAGCGUGAAACUCAUUGUUGCUUUUCCAGUGCUUUUUCCAAGUAAAUGCUUUUUAUUAAACAUUAACAUUGUUUAAAUACUAACUUUGCAGAGACACUGACUACAAAGUUAGGAAAAUUAUUGCUUAAUUGAAGUGAGAUGGGAUAUGUCAAUACUCCAGUGCUUUACCAAACAGGAUUUAAAAGCAGUGUCUGCUUUGCUUCAAAUUAUUAUUUAGUUUCUUAUGACUAUGGGGCUGGAGGUUUUUUACUUCAAAGUUCUUAAUUGAUUCAGGUGAUGAUAAAACCUUGACUCUUGUUUUUGUAGUUCUUAAACUUGGCUUCUUACCAAAGUGUGUUUCUGAUAAUACUGCUGUCUGAAAAACCCUACCAACUGUUGGGUCUCUUCAGACAGCCUACUCAGAAAAGGAAUUUUUGCACAGUUGGAAACUUGCACAGCACACUUGGGAUUGAUGGAAGUACAACACGUGAACACAGGUCCUAAACUAACUUCGUGUUUGUUCAGGAAACAAAGCAGGAUUACUGUGGACUUACUGUAGAAUUCAAGUCUGAUCGCUUGUUUGUGGUUCUGAAACUUGCCAUUGUUCUAGGAGAUGCUUCUGAUAGGCACAACAUGGCUUUCAGCUCUCCUGUUCCAUGCACGUGUGCAGCUCUGAACUGUACACUUGUGUUCAGGCAUGCAAUUUGUACAUACACUACCACACACUGUGUGCAAUGUGAAGUUUGUCUUUCAGUCUGUUCAUUUCAUUAAAAGAAGAGAAGAUGUAGCUGGUUGCUUU
Long non-coding RNA from Ficedula albicollis (Collared flycatcher), 4205 nucleotides. NCBI's taxonomy places the organism in Eukaryota, Metazoa, Chordata, Aves, Passeriformes, Muscicapidae. The record is from Ensembl.